Molecule: ribosomal RNA, 196 nt
Filed under: uncultured bacterium
Lineage: Bacteria
Description: partial 16S ribosomal RNA
Rfam family: Bacterial small subunit ribosomal RNA
Source: RNAcentral
ACGCUCGACACCUACGAGGCAGCAGUGGGGAAUAUUGCACAAUGGGGGAAACCCUGAUGCAGCGACGCCGCGUGAGUGAAGAAGUAUUUCGGUAUGUAAAGCUCUAUCAGCAGGGAAGAAGAUGACGGUACCUGAGUAAGAAGCCCCGGCUAACUACGUGCCAACAGCCGCGGUAAUCUGAGCGGGCUGGCAAGGC